This 379-nucleotide ribosomal RNA is filed under the name uncultured cyanobacterium. RNAcentral's name for it is "bacterial SSU rRNA". It matches the Rfam family "Bacterial small subunit ribosomal RNA", at positions 376 to 770 of the family's 1533-position model. The record is from RNAcentral. Lineage: Bacteria; Bacillati; Cyanobacteriota.
GGCAACCCUGACGGAGCAACGCCGCGUGGGGGAGGAAUGUCUGUGGAUUGUAAACCCCUUUUCUCAGGGAAGAAGUUCUGACGGUACCUGAGGAAUCAGCAUCGGCUAACUCCGUGCCAGCAGCCGCGGUAAGACGGAGGAUGCAAGCGUUAUCCGGAAUUAUUGGGCGUAAAGCGUCCGUAGGCGGUUCAUCAAGUCUGCUGUCAAAGACUGCAGCUCAACUGUGGAUAGGCAGUGGAAACUGACGAACUUGAGUAUGGUAGGGGUAGAGGGAAUUCCCAGUGUAGCGGUGAAAUGCGUAGAUAUUGGGAAGAACACCAGUGGCGAAGGCGCUCUACUGGGCCAUAACUGACGCUGAGGGACGAAAGCUAGGGGAGCG